Molecule: ribosomal RNA, 253 nt
Filed under: uncultured bacterium
Lineage: Bacteria
Description: partial 16S ribosomal RNA
Rfam family: Bacterial small subunit ribosomal RNA
Source: RNAcentral
UACGUAGGGAGCAAGCGUUGUCCGGAAUCAUUGGGCGUAAAGCGCGCGUAGGUGGCCAUGUAAGUCCGCUGUGAAAGUCGGGGGCUCAACCCUCGAAUGCCGGUGGAUACUGUCGGGCUAGAGUGCGGAAGAGGCGAGUGGAAUUCCUGGUGUAGCGGUGAAAUGCGCAGAUAUCAGGAGGAACACCAAUUGCGAAGGCAGCUCGCUGGGACGUAACUGACGCUGAGACGCGAAAGCGUGGGGAGCAAACAGG